Non-coding RNA from Megalops atlanticus (tarpon), 78 nucleotides. The record is from the annotation of a GenBank genome assembly. NCBI's taxonomy places the organism in Eukaryota, Metazoa, Chordata, Actinopteri, Elopiformes, Megalopidae.
AGCGGUGUAGCAUAGUGGUAAGGUGCUGUGCUUGUAACCAAAAGGUUGCCGGUUCGAUUCCUCGCUGGGGCACUGCUG